RNAcentral lists this unclassified non-coding RNA (324 nucleotides) under Hevea brasiliensis (rubber tree). The record is from RNAcentral. Lineage: Eukaryota; Viridiplantae; Streptophyta; Magnoliopsida; Malpighiales; Euphorbiaceae.
AAAUGAAGCACAUUUUCAAGAAGCUACACUUAGGGAGUAACCACGAGCCACAUGGCCCACAUCGAUCAAACGAGACCACUCCCUCGCCACUCUACACCUCCAAUCAACGUAAUCCCCCCGGAAACGCUCCCGCUAGCCCUCCGUCAACGUCUUCAUCGCCGGCGUCCACUGUCACUGGUUCAACGAUUUCAUCCGCGGCGAAUAAUUCUACUAGUCGUACGGACUACUUCUCUUCCGAGGAGGACUUCCAGGUGCAGCUAGCGUUGGCGAUCAGCGCGUCCAAUUCAGAGUUUAGGGAUGAUCCCGAGAAGGAUCAGAUCCGAG